AAUGCUGUGAUGAGAAAGCUAACACGUAAGAAGAAUCCACUUUGUGUGGUUUCUCCGAUGAAAUAUCUUGUUACGCUUGGCUUCUGAGCAUU
Small nucleolar RNA from Rhododendron vialii, 92 nucleotides. RefSeq annotates it as small nucleolar RNA R24. NCBI's taxonomy places the organism in Eukaryota, Viridiplantae, Streptophyta, Magnoliopsida, Ericales, Ericaceae. The transcript has a single exon. The record is from RefSeq and is a predicted model, not a curated record.